RNAcentral lists this ribosomal RNA (258 nucleotides) under uncultured bacterium. RNAcentral's name for it is "partial 16S ribosomal RNA". It matches the Rfam family "Bacterial small subunit ribosomal RNA", at positions 524 to 781 of the family's 1533-position model. The record is from RNAcentral.
UACAGAGGUGGCAGGCGUUGUUCGGAUUUAUUGGGCGUAAAGGGUCCGUAGGCGGUUUGGAAAGUCAGAUGUGAAAGCCCACAGCUCAACUGUGGAACUGCAUUUGAAACUUCCAGACUAGAGUGUGAGAGGGGUAAAGGGAAUUCCCGGUGUAAGGGUGAAAUCUGCAGAGAUCGGGAGGAACACCAGUCGCGAAGGCGCUUUACUGGCUCACAACUGACGCUCAGGGACGAAAGCUAGGGUAGCAAACGGGAUUAG